AACGAACGCUGGCGGCAGGCCUAACACAUGCAAGUCGAGCGAGAUCUUCGGGUCUAGCGGCGGACGGGUGAGUAACGCGUGGGAAUAUUCCCUUCUCUGCGGAAUAGCCUCGGGAAACUGAGCGUAAUACCGCAUACGCCCUUUGGGGGAAAGAUUUAUCGGAGAAGGAUUAGCCCGCGUUGGAUUAGGUAGUUGGUGGGGUAACGGCCUACCAAGCCGACGAUCCAUAGCUGGUUUGAGAGGAUGAUCAGCCACACUGGGACUGAGACACGGCCCAGACUCCUACGGGAGGCAGCAGUGGGGAAUCUUAGACAAUGGGGGCAACCCUGAUCUAGCCAUGACGCGUGAGUGAUGAAGGCCUUAGGGUUGUAAAGCGCUUUUAGCUGGGAAGAUAAUGACGGUACCAGAAGAAGAAGCCCCGGCUAACUCCGUG
RNAcentral lists this ribosomal RNA (433 nucleotides) under uncultured bacterium. RNAcentral describes it as "partial 16S ribosomal RNA". It matches the Rfam family "Bacterial small subunit ribosomal RNA", at positions 29 to 507 of the family's 1533-position model. The record is from RNAcentral.